This 160-nucleotide unclassified non-coding RNA is filed under the name soil metagenome. RNAcentral describes it as "partial internal transcribed spacer 1". The record is from RNAcentral.
CAAGAAUCGAGGCUGACGGUGCCUACUCCCUAGGCUCCGUCCAGUCCCGCUCUCUACCUUGCCUACUGCACCGUUUGUUGCUUCCUGGCGGCGUCCCGUCGCCAGGGCCUUUUGAAAGCCAAGUAUAAGCAUUGAAACUUCUGACAUACACUAAAUCGUA